Molecule: ribosomal RNA, 429 nt
Filed under: uncultured archaeon
Lineage: Archaea
Description: bacterial SSU rRNA
Rfam family: Archaeal small subunit ribosomal RNA
Source: RNAcentral
UACCAGCUCUCCGAGUAGUGGGGACGAUUAUUGGGCUUAAAGCGUUCGUAGCCGGCUUAACAAGUCUUCCGUUAAAUCCAACGAUCUAAUCGUUGGUCUGCGGGAGAUACUGUUGGGCUAGGAGGCGGGAGGAGCCGACGGUAUUCUCGGGGUAGGGGUGAAAUCCUGUAAUCCCGGGAGGACCACCAGUGGCGAAGGUGGUCGGCUAGAACGCGCUCGACGGUGAGGGACGAAAGCUGGGGGAGCGAACCGGAUUAGAGACCCGGAUAGUCCCAGCUGUAAACGAUGCGGGCUAGGUGUUGGGGUGGCCAUGAGCCACUUCAGCGCCGCAUGGAAGCAAUUAAGCCCGCCGCCUGGGGAGUACGACCGCAAGGCUGGAACUUAAAGGAAUUGGCGGGGGAGCACCACAAGGCGUGAAGCUUGCGGUUU